RNAcentral lists this ribosomal RNA (253 nucleotides) under uncultured bacterium. RNAcentral describes it as "partial 16S ribosomal RNA". It matches the Rfam family "Bacterial small subunit ribosomal RNA", at positions 524 to 776 of the family's 1533-position model. The record is from RNAcentral.
UACGUAGGGGGCAAGCGUUGUCCGGAAUCAUUGGGCGUAAAGCGCGUGUAGGCGGCCCGAUAAGUCCGCUGUGAAAGUCCAGGGCUCAACCCUGGGAUGCCGGUGGAUACUGUCGGGCUCGAGUCCGGAAGAGGAGUGUGGAAUUCCUGGUGUAGCGGUGAAAUGCACAGAUAUCAGGAGGAACACCAAUGGCGAAGGCAGCACUCUGGGACGUGACUGACGCUGAGACGCGAAAGCGUGGGGAGCGAACAGG